GACACAACUCUCGGCAACGGAUAUCUCGGCUCUCGCAUCAAUAAAAAACGUACCGAAAUGCGAUACCUGGUGUGAAUUGCAAAAUCCCGCAAACCAUCAAGUCUUUGAACGCAAGUUGCGCCCAAGGCCACCCGGUCGAGGGCACGCCUGCCUGGGCGUCACG
This 163-nucleotide ribosomal RNA is filed under the name Brachypodium hybridum. RNAcentral describes it as "5.8S ribosomal RNA". It matches the Rfam family "5.8S ribosomal RNA". Rfam says of the family: 5.8S ribosomal RNA (5.8S rRNA) is a component of the large subunit of the eukaryotic ribosome. It is transcribed by RNA polymerase I as part of the 45S precursor that also contains 18S and 28S rRNA. Functionally, it is thought that 5.8S rRNA may be involved in ribosome translocation. The record is from RNAcentral. Lineage: Eukaryota; Viridiplantae; Streptophyta; Magnoliopsida; Poales; Poaceae.